GGCCCGUUAGCUAAGUUGGUUAGAGCGUCGUGCUAAUAACGCGAAGGUCGUGGGUUCGAUCCCCCCACGGGCCA
This 74-nucleotide transfer RNA is filed under the name Schistocerca americana (American grasshopper). RNAcentral's name for it is "tRNA-Ile". It matches the Rfam family "tRNA". From Rfam's summary of the family: Transfer RNA (tRNA) molecules are approximately 80 nucleotides in length. RNAcentral also lists the same sequence under 2 other names. Lineage: Eukaryota; Metazoa; Arthropoda; Insecta; Orthoptera; Acrididae. The record is from RNAcentral.